GUGCGUAACGCGUAUACAAUCUGCCUUUCACUGGGGGAUAGCCCGAAGAAAUUUGGAUUAAUACCCCAUAGUAUAGUAGUGUGGCAUCRYRCAACUAUUAAAGCYUMGGUGGUGAAAGAUGAGUAUGCGUUCUAUUAGCUAGUUGGAGAGGUAACGGCUCCCCAAGGCKAYGAUAGAUAGGGGUUCUGAGAGGGAUGUCCCCCACACUGGUACUGAGAUACGGACCAGACUCCUACGGGAGGCAGCAGUGAGGAAUAUUGGACAAUGGUCGGAAGACUGAUCCAGCCAUGCCGCGUGCAGGAUGACGGCCUUAUGGGUUGUAAACUGCU
This 329-nucleotide ribosomal RNA is filed under the name Capnocytophaga sp. AHN8750. RNAcentral describes it as "partial 16S ribosomal RNA". It matches the Rfam family "Bacterial small subunit ribosomal RNA", at positions 106 to 434 of the family's 1533-position model. Lineage: Bacteria; Pseudomonadati; Bacteroidota; Flavobacteriia; Flavobacteriales; Flavobacteriaceae. The record is from RNAcentral.